UGAGGAAUAUUGGUCAAUGGGUGCAAGCCUGAACCAGCCAUCCCGCGUGAAGGACGACUGCCCUAUGGGUUGUAAACUUCUUUUGUAUAGGGAUAAACCUACCCUCGUGAGGGUAGCUGAAGGUACUAUACGAAUAAGCACCGGCUAACUCCGUGCCAGCAGCCGCGGUAAUACGGAGGGUGCAAGCGUUAUCCGGAUUUAUUGGGUUUAAAGGGUCCGUAGGCGGACUUAUAAGUCAGUGGUGAAAGCCUGUCGCUUAACGAUAGAACUGCCAUUGAUACUGUAAGGCUUGAGUAUAUUUGAGGUAGCUGGAAUAAGUAGUGUAGCGGUGAAAUGCAUAGAUAUUACUUAGAACACCAAUUGCGAAGGCAGGUUACCAAGAUAUAACUGACGCUGAGGGACGAAAGCGUGGGGAGCGAACA
This 422-nucleotide ribosomal RNA is filed under the name uncultured bacterium. RNAcentral describes it as "bacterial SSU rRNA". It matches the Rfam family "Bacterial small subunit ribosomal RNA", at positions 355 to 774 of the family's 1533-position model. The record is from RNAcentral.